AACACUCACCAUGAAGGAAGCGGCAGACUCAAACUUAGAAAAUUCUGCAUCAAUUCCAAGUGAAACCUCAAAAUGAUGGCGGACACAAUUUUUUGUUCAAGAUUCAAGUUAAAUUGUGUGAAGGGUAUCCAACGAUUUUGAUCUCUUGCGGUAAAUUCAAAGAUUUGAGUAAUCCAAAGGUUACACUUCUUAAUAUCUUAUUUUUCUGUGAAACAAGAUGAUUCAUACGUUGACACCUACAUAUCAGUACAAUUGGAGUGGACUUUAUAAGCAUUCACAUCCACCACUUAACCUUUGCAAAUCUCUUGUUUCUAUUGGUUAAGAAGAUUACAUAAUGCAAGUAUAGCUAAAGUGUGGAAUAUUUAUCUGUUUAUAAGAUCUGAAGGGAAGCUGUUAGCAAGCUUAGUUAACGAGGAUUGACACUGGAAAGAUAAUGUAGAAGAUUAAUUUGGUUUUACAUCUAAGGGAGAUUUGUGGGCCGAAAUACAGACAUAGCUGCAAAAUUGGUUCUAAACUUCUAAAGGAUUUAUGCAUGAUAAUACAAUGUUUAAAAGGAUUUUAUAUAUAGUUUCAUUCGAUCUUAAUGGUCUUAACUUUGUU
This is a long non-coding RNA of Trifolium pratense (red clover), 600 nucleotides long. RefSeq lists it as uncharacterized. The record is from RefSeq and is a predicted model, not a curated record. The transcript is spliced from 5 exons. Lineage: Eukaryota; Viridiplantae; Streptophyta; Magnoliopsida; Fabales; Fabaceae.